Molecule: ribosomal RNA, 492 nt
Filed under: uncultured bacterium
Lineage: Bacteria
Description: partial 16S ribosomal RNA
Rfam family: Bacterial small subunit ribosomal RNA
Source: RNAcentral
AGUGAACGCUGGCGGUAGGCCUAACACAUGCAAGUCGAACGGCAGCACAGUAAGAGCUUGCUCUUACGGGUGGCGAGUGGCGGACGGGUGAGGAAUACAUCGGAAUCUACUUUUUCGUGGGGGAUAACGUAGGGAAACUUACGCUAAUACCGCAUACGACCUACGGGUGAAAGCAGGGGAUCUUCGGACCUUGCGCGAUUGAAUGAGCCGAUGUCGGAUUAGCUAGUUGGCGGGGUAAAGGCCCACCAAGGCGAAGAUUCUUAGCUUGUCUGAGAGGAUGAACCAGCACAAUGGGAAUGAGACACGGUCCCAGCUUCCAACGGGAGGCAGAGGGGGGGAAAAUUGACCAUGGGGCGAAAGCUGGAUCAGGCCAUCCGGCGGGGUUAAAAAAGGCUUUCGGGUGGAAAACCCUUUUUGUUGGGAAAAAAAAGAGGCAGGUUAAUACCCCGCUGUUCGGAGGGUACCAAAAGAAUAAGAACCGGCUAAUUUCGU